This 267-nucleotide long non-coding RNA is filed under the name Elaeis guineensis (African oil palm). RNAcentral's name for it is "long non-coding RNA (EGUI_LNC001811)". Lineage: Eukaryota; Viridiplantae; Streptophyta; Magnoliopsida; Arecales; Arecaceae. The record is from RNAcentral.
CGCUUCCCCCCUCCAUUCUAAAAAUGUUCAGCCCUUUUGGAUUUUUGUAGCAAACUAAGAAUUCUUCUAAUUUUAUGUAAAGGAAAGUUGUUCACAAGUGUUACUAUUAGCAAACUUGAAAAUAUUCUGUCUUUAACUUUUGGGUGGAGAAAGUUCAAAAUGAUAACUUUUUUUUGAGGUACAACGUGUUUCUAUCCUCUGAUGAUGUUCCACAGAAAUGUUCAACUUAUUGUGCUAGUGCAAUAACAACUUAUAGUGUUGGCAUAU